RNAcentral lists this ribosomal RNA (500 nucleotides) under uncultured bacterium. RNAcentral describes it as "bacterial SSU rRNA". It matches the Rfam family "Bacterial small subunit ribosomal RNA", at positions 28 to 507 of the family's 1533-position model. The record is from RNAcentral.
GACGAACGCUGGCGGCGUGCCUAAUACAUGCAAGUUGAGCGGAAUGAUGAAGAAGCUUGCUUCUUCUGAUUUUAGCGGCGGACGGGUGAGUAACACGUGGGCAACCUACCUUGUAGAUUGGGAUAACUCCGGGAAACCGGGGCUAAUACCGAAUAAUCCAUUUUGCUUCAUGGCGAGAUGUUGAAAGACGGUUUCGGCUGUCACUACAAGAUGGGCCCGCGGCGCAUUAGCUAGUUGGUAGGGUAAUGGCCUACCAAGGCGACGAUGCGUAGCCGACCUGAGAGGGUGAUCGGCCACACUGGGACUGAGACACGGCCCAGACUCCUACGGGAGGCAGCAGUAGGGAAUCUUCCACAAUGGACGAAAGUCUGAUGGAGCAACGCCGCGUGAGUGAAGAAGGUUUUCGGAUCGUAAAACUCUGUUGUAAGGGAAGAACACGUACGAGAGUAACUGCUCGUACCUUGACGGUACCUUAUUAGAAAGCCACGGCUAACUACGUG